This is a long non-coding RNA of Homo sapiens (human), 704 nucleotides long. Ensembl annotates it as cancer susceptibility 15. Its record names the gene CASC15. The record is from Ensembl. Lineage: Eukaryota; Metazoa; Chordata; Mammalia; Primates; Hominidae.
CUUUAUAGGCUGGGAGGUCACAGCUCUAUCCCCGUUCAAGACUGCACCUCCUUUUUUCUCUCUUCCUUCCCAGGAGCUGUGGAGUCCAAGUGUGACUGCCAAGAGGAAUCCAGCAAAGCCAAAAAGCCCAAGCAUGUAGCCCUGCCCGAAGCACGCCACACGCAUGGAAAACCCAGAGGAAAUGAGUGAGGAUCAAUGGGAAGAAGAGAGCCAGCCAGGUUCGAUGCCUUCUCCAUCCGUCAGUGAGGGUGUGGAGAGCCUGCAGGCGUGUGCCUCCCUCUGUAACUUGCUAUUCCUUGUGUAAUGUCAAGUGGAAGUGUGAAGCACCACAAACUGCUCUGAGCAGAGCCCACUUCCCUUCACCCACGGAGAGCGUGAAGCAGUUACACCAACAUCAAUCAAGGAAAACCCACAGGCUGAGCUCACACGGUUGAAGCAGGAAGUUGAAGAUUUGUCCAGGAGCAGAUAGCUGAAGAGAGAGAGAGAGAAGAGAGAACGGCUUACAGCUCAGGUCCUCUCUCCAUGCUUAGGAACCACUACAAAUGCUACUGCCUUGAGUCUCAUUUUGUUUCCCUCUGGAAACCACAUGUGUACCUUGUUUGCAACAGUAUGGGUAUGGAUGUUUUGGUAGUUCUUACACAUUUAUUUUAAAAUUUAAAGAAGUAGUGCCAUAAAGCUUUAUCAGGAUGUAUUUAAAAUGAAAA